AUACGAAGGGGGCUAGCGUUGUUCGGAAUCACUGGGCGUAAAGCGCGCGUAGGUGGAUCAAUUAGUUGAGGGUGAAAUCCCGGGGCUCAACCUCGGAACUGCCUUCAAUACUGUUGAUCUUGAGACCGAGAGAGGUGAGUGGAAUUCCUAGUGUAGAGGUGAAAUUCGUAGAUAUUAGGAAGAACACCAGUGGCGAAGGCGGCUCACCGGCUCGGUACUGACGCUGAGGUGCGAAAGCGUGGGGAGCAAACAGGAUUAGAUACCCUAGUAGUCC
RNAcentral lists this ribosomal RNA (274 nucleotides) under uncultured bacterium. RNAcentral's name for it is "partial 16S ribosomal RNA". It matches the Rfam family "Bacterial small subunit ribosomal RNA", at positions 523 to 796 of the family's 1533-position model. The record is from RNAcentral.